GAUGAACGCUAGCGGCAGGCUUAACACAUGCAAGUCGAGGGGUAUUGGUUUUCGGACCAAGAGACCGGCGCACGGGUGCGUAACGCGUAUGCAAUCUACCUUUCACAGAGGGAUAGCCCAGAGAAAUUUGGAUUAAUACCUCAUAGUAUAUUGAGUUAGCAUCAACACAAUAUUAAAGUCACAACGGUGAAAGAUGAGCAUGCGUCCCAUUAGCUAGUUGGUAAGGUAACGGCUUACCAAGGCUACGAUGGGUAGGGGUCCUGAGAGGGAGAUCCCCCACACUGGUACUGAGACACGGACCAGACUCCUACGGGAGGCAGCAGUGAGGAAUAUUGGACAAUGGGCGCAAGCCUGAUCCAGCCAUGCCGCGUGCAGGAUGACGGUCCUAUGGAUUGUAAACUGCUUUUGCACAGGAAGAAACAACUCUACGUGUAGAGUCUUGACGGUACUGUGAGAAUAAGGAUCGGCUAACUCCGUGCCAGCAGCCGCGGUAAUACGGAGGAUCCAAGCGUUAUCCGGAAUCAUUGGGUUUAAAGGGUCCGUAGGCGGUUUAGUAAGUCAGUGGUGAAAGCCCAUCGCUCAACGGUGGAACGGCCAUUGAUACUGCUAGACUUGAAUUAUUAGGAAGUAACUAGAAUAUGUAGUGUAGCGGUGAAAUGCUUAGAGAUUACAUGGAAUACCAAUUGCGAAGGCAGGUUACUACUAAUGGAUUGACGCUGAUGGACGAAAGCGUGGGUAGCGA
Molecule: ribosomal RNA, 742 nt
Filed under: uncultured soil bacterium
Lineage: Bacteria
Description: bacterial SSU rRNA
Rfam family: Bacterial small subunit ribosomal RNA
Source: RNAcentral